This is a long non-coding RNA of Gasterosteus aculeatus aculeatus (three-spined stickleback), 1154 nucleotides long. The record is from Ensembl. NCBI's taxonomy places the organism in Eukaryota, Metazoa, Chordata, Actinopteri, Perciformes, Gasterosteidae.
GUCCGGGUGCCAUAUAAGCACGUUAACUUCUUGCGCUUUCUAUGGUGGCCCAAUGGAGACACUACAGCGGAGCCAGAGGAAUACAGGAUGUGCGUGCAUUUGUUUGGAGCUGUAUCCUCUCCAAGCUGCUCAAACUAUGCACUGAGGAGAACUGCUGAGGAUAAUGCACUGCAAUAUUCACCCGAUGUCCUUCGUACAGUCAAGGCAAAUUUCUACGUGGACGACUGUCUUAAGUCCACUGUGACAGAGGAAGAUGCAGUGAAGCUCAUACAUGGAUUAACAUCUCUCUGUAAAAAAGGUGGCUUCCAUCUCCAAAAGUGGGUCACAAAUAACUCAAAUGUGUUUGCACUUAUUCCUAGCAACAUCAGAGCAGUGGCUUUGGAGAACAUGGAUUUGGACAGGGACCAACUCCCUGUGGAAAGAGCUCUGGGGAUGCAAUGGUGUGUUCAAGGAGAUACGUUCAGCUUCAGGACUGCAGUGCAGGAACGUCCACACACUAGGAGGGGCAUCCUUUCUGUGAUGAAGCUUCUCGAGGACUAAGAGCUCAGGAGUUUGGAAAAGGAAAAUGGCUAAAAGGACCGGACUUUUUGCACCUGCCCCCCACCAGAUGGCCGAAACUCGACUUGGACGCCUCUUCCAUUCCAUCGGAUGAUGCAGAGGUGAAAAGGGAACUUAAGGUGAAUGCUGUUACAAUACACAGUGACAAUCCCCUCAGUCAGCUCAUUCACUAUUUUUCAUCCUGGAGAAAGCUUAAAACAUCAGUGGCCUGGCUGUUGGAGCUUAAAGAAAGACUUUUACUUUUGAGCCGAAAGAGAAAGGAAUAUGUGGUCAACCAGAAUGAGAAUGUGGAAAAGGAGAUAAAAAAAAUUCAAAGCCGCACUUGGAAAAUCCAACUUGACACCAGAGCGGUUGGAGGAAGCCGAAGAGGCAAUAAUUCAGUUUGCGCAAAACCAAAGAUUCAGUACUGAAAUUUCCUCACUAAAACAUGACCCAAAGACUGUUUUUAAAGACAGUCCUCUGUAUCGCCUCGACCCCUUCAUCGAAGAUGGCAUCCUCAGAGUUGGUGGACGUCUGUUUAAGUCUGUUCUGCCGUGGGAGGUAAAGCAUCCUGUGAUUCUGUCAAAGGAUUUGCAUGUUUCCCAGCUCAUAUUGCG